Molecule: non-coding RNA, 828 nt
Organism: Danio rerio (zebrafish)
Lineage: Eukaryota; Metazoa; Chordata; Actinopteri; Cypriniformes; Danionidae
Source: RefSeq
UUCUGCUCGGUGGAGUCAGCGGACAGACUGCAGGUGUGGACGGCUUCACUGCAUCAGCAAGAUGAGAUAUUUGCAGAGGAGGGCUCUGGUCUCUUGGUUCCCUGCAGCGUUCCUCAACCUCGCCACAAUUUCACCCUCACCUGGAGCUUCAGCAGAUCCAGCGAAUCCAUCGUAAUCUUCAGUUUCGACAGCCGGAGUCGUCGCCUACUGAACCUGUGGGACGGCAGAGCUGAAGUGGACAUUGAUCAGGCACAUUUGGGCAACGGCUCCCUUCAUCUGCUGAACUUGGAUAGUUUAACACACAGCGGCUCCUACAUCUGCACUUUCUAUGGUUUCCAGAUUAGGCAUCAAGUCCAAACCCACGUCAACAUUACCGUCCGCAUCACCGAUGAUGACGAGUAUGACUGCAGGAGGUCCUGGUGGGGAACUGCUGCAUCUGUCUUCAUAUUUCUGAUCACUAUAUCUGUAGCCCUGUCUCGGUGUUUUAGACUGAGAGGUGAACGUUCAGCACAAAACCACGCAGACAUCAAUAAACGAGUCAGAUGUUGCAAGACACCAGAAAUGCCACUAUUUGAAAGACAAGGACAAGAAGAGCCAAGACGCAAUGGUUUGGAAUCUCCGGAGAAAGAAAUUCACGUGAUGUCUGACACAACGCCGCUCAAACAAGAUCCUGACGGCCUUAAAAAUGACAUCCUACAGAAUAAAAGCAUGAUUAUUAAUGAUUCAUCUACAUCAGAGGAAAGACAUGAAUCCAGGCCGCAAACACCAACAGCUGCUAUCAUAACUCUCUUUAUAUCUGAAAUCAACACAGACGCAGCUGAUGAGAAG